UCCUGGUUUCCCAGGCAGUCCCGUCAGAGUGCUUUACCUAAAAAGGCAGUGGCAACUGACAGCAAGGGUUGCGCUCGUUAAAGGACUUAACCCAACAUCUCACGACACGAGCUGACGACAGCCAUGCAGCACCUGUGUAUAUGUCUAAGCUAAAAGCCUAGAAGAUCUCAUCUCUGAGACUGUCAUAUACAUGUCAAGCCCAGGUAAGGUUCCUCGCGUAGUGUCGAAUUAAACCACAUGUUCCACCGCUUGUGCGGACCCCCGUCAAUUCCUUUGAGUUUUAGCCUUGCGGCCGUAAUCCCCAGGCGAAUCACUUAACGCGUUAGCUACGACACUAACCCGAAAAAUCAGGCUAACGUCUAGUGAUUAUCGUUUACGGCGUGGACUAC
RNAcentral lists this unclassified non-coding RNA (389 nucleotides) under uncultured bacterium. Its description in RNAcentral is "contains 16S-23S intergenic spacer region". The record is from RNAcentral.